GGGGGUGUAGCUCAGUGGUAGAGCGUUCGCUUCGCAUGUGAAAGGUCCGGGGUUCAAAUCCUCGCUCCUCCA
Molecule: transfer RNA, 72 nt
Filed under: Trichonephila clavata
Lineage: Eukaryota; Metazoa; Arthropoda; Arachnida; Araneae; Nephilidae
Rfam family: tRNA
About the family: Transfer RNA (tRNA) molecules are approximately 80 nucleotides in length. Their secondary structure includes four short double-helical elements and three loops (D, anti-codon, and T loops).
Source: Rfam by way of RNAcentral